Molecule: ribosomal RNA, 38 nt
Filed under: Eschscholzia californica (California poppy)
Lineage: Eukaryota; Viridiplantae; Streptophyta; Magnoliopsida; Ranunculales; Papaveraceae
Also listed under: 124 other names
Description: partial 26S ribosomal RNA
Source: RNAcentral
GCGACCCCAGGUCAGGCGGGACUACCCGCUGAAUUUAA